GCGGUCGUGGCGGAAUUGGUAGACGCGCAGCGUUGAGGUCGCUGUGGCAGAGAUGCCGUGGAAGUUCGAGUCUUCUCGACCGCA
RNAcentral lists this transfer RNA (84 nucleotides) under Azospirillum brasilense. RNAcentral describes it as "tRNA-Leu". It matches the Rfam family "tRNA". Rfam says of the family: Transfer RNA (tRNA) molecules are approximately 80 nucleotides in length. Their secondary structure includes four short double-helical elements and three loops (D, anti-codon, and T loops). Further hydrogen bonds mediate the characteristic L-shaped molecular structure. tRNAs have two regions of fundamental functional importance: the anti-codon, which is responsible for specific mRNA codon recognition, and the 3' end, to which the tRNAs corresponding amino acid is attached (by aminoacyl-tRNA synthetases). tRNAs cope with the degeneracy of the genetic code in two manners: having more than one tRNA (with a specific anti-codon) for a particular amino acid; and 'wobble' base-pairing, i.e. permitting non-standard base-pairing at the 3rd anti-codon position. Lineage: Bacteria; Pseudomonadati; Pseudomonadota; Alphaproteobacteria; Rhodospirillales; Azospirillaceae. RNAcentral also lists the same sequence under 1 other name. The record is from RNAcentral.